RNAcentral lists this ribosomal RNA (497 nucleotides) under uncultured bacterium. Its description in RNAcentral is "partial 16S ribosomal RNA". It matches the Rfam family "Bacterial small subunit ribosomal RNA", at positions 28 to 507 of the family's 1533-position model. The record is from RNAcentral.
GACGAACGCUGGCGGCGUGCCUAAUACAUGCAAGUUGAGCGCUGAAGGUUGGUACUUGUACCAACUGGAUGAGCAGCGAACGGGUGAGUAACGCGUGGGGAAUCUGCCUUUGAGCGGGGGACAACAUUUGGAAACGAAUGCUAAUACCGCAUAAAAACUUUAAACACAAGUUUUAAGUUUGAAAGAUGCAAUUGCAUCACUCAAAGAUGAUCCCGCGUUGUAUUAGCUAGUUGGUGAGGUAAAGGCUCACCAAGGCGAUGAUACAUAGCCGACCUGAGGGGGUGAUCGGCCACAUUGGGACUGAGACACGGCCCAAACUCCUACGGGAGGCAGCAGUAGGGAAUCUUCGGCAAUGGACGAAAGUCUGACCGAGCAACGCCGCGUGAGUGAAGAAGGGUUUCGGAUCGUAAAACUCUGUUGGUAGAGAAGAACGUUGGUGAGAGUGGAAAGCUCAUCAAGUGACGGUAACUACCCAGAAAGGGACGGCUAACUACGUG